Molecule: non-coding RNA, 118 nt
Organism: Pelobates cultripes (western spadefoot toad)
Lineage: Eukaryota; Metazoa; Chordata; Amphibia; Anura; Pelobatidae
Source: the annotation of a GenBank genome assembly
CUCUAGGAAGCAUCUCCCCUGUCCUCCCGCGCGAUGCUGUGUGUAGCGUUGCCGCGUAUUACCAUGGCAACGCUCCACACAGCAUCGCGCGGGAGAACAGGGGAGCUGCUUCCUAGAG